Molecule: long non-coding RNA, 401 nt
Organism: Vitis riparia (riverbank grape)
Lineage: Eukaryota; Viridiplantae; Streptophyta; Magnoliopsida; Vitales; Vitaceae
Exons: 3
Source: RefSeq, a predicted model, not a curated record
CCAGAAGGUAAUGUUGUCCCCACAAAUAGGAACGUUCGAAGACGCCGAGUGCGUCGAAUGGCUCCAAACUUGUUGUCCCCAUACAUAUCCCAACCACAAACCAAACAAUCUUCCAUCAGAAUGGACCUAAAACAAAUAGCUGCACUGGUAUUUGGAGAGGAUUUGGAUGCUAGGAAAUGGUAAUCCACUCCCAGGAAAAACACUUAGUGAGGGAAGCAGUUAUAGGAUGUUUUGAACCAGUGUAUCAGAUGGAUAUUCCAUAUGUCAAUGUUAACGAGGUCUUCUUACCGGUUCUCAUAAAGAACCAUUGGACACUGUACGUAUAUGACCUAUCAAACAAGAGAAUCCAACUACUAGAUUCUCGUCCUGGUAGGAAGAAGACAACUUUGAGUGGAAUACAA